Molecule: non-coding RNA, 445 nt
Organism: Paralichthys olivaceus (Japanese flounder)
Lineage: Eukaryota; Metazoa; Chordata; Actinopteri; Pleuronectiformes; Paralichthyidae
Source: RefSeq, a predicted model, not a curated record
GGUCCUCCCUCACCCGAUCACCCGGUCCUCCCUCACCUGUUCACCCGGUCCUCCCUCACCUGAUCACCCGGUCCUCCCUCACCUCUCUGUUGACGGGAGACCCUCACGUCUCAACCGGGGACACUCACCUGUUCACCGGGGACCGUGACCCACAGACCUCGGUGACAGAUGUGCCGAUGACCCGGGUUUCCUUAUCUGCAGGCAGCUCACCUACGGUGGAGCCGGUGAUGCAGACACAAACAAACAACAGCGGUGGCGGUGGCGGUGGCGGCGGGCCUGUCAUCUGCUCUCGCUCUUAUCGGGUCAUUUAAUGAAUCCUUCAGCCGAACAAGAAGCUGGUUUCACGUCAUCACAGAGAGAGAGAGCGGGGGGGAGGAGGGACAGAAUGUCUCGACACAGACGUGUAACGACCCUUUGGCUGUGCCCAAUAAAAGCUGUGAUACAC